Molecule: ribosomal RNA, 228 nt
Filed under: Triticum aestivum (bread wheat)
Lineage: Eukaryota; Viridiplantae; Streptophyta; Magnoliopsida; Poales; Poaceae
Description: partial small subunit ribosomal RNA
Source: RNAcentral
AUGACUUCCAAGAUGGUCGGCGCCCUCUUGCUGGUCCUCCUGCUGGCGCUCACACAGAGCGACGCCCAGGUGUUGCCGACUCCCUGCUGCAACCUCAAGUGCUGUGGGUACGAUUGCUGCGGGCCCCCGGUCACAGCCGCGGCGCCCAUUUCGUCAUUGUCCGCCGCCCCGGAAGCAGGACCGGCCGGCCCGGUUUCGCAGCGCGUGCCCCGCAAGGUCUUCCCCUGA